AGAAUAUUCAAAUUAAGAGUCCGUUUCAAUCCACAGUGUCCUCUUAUUCUUUUCUGAUGCAAUUUCAAUAGCUCUUAGAACCCUAAAAUAUCUACAAUAUAAGGUGUAACUCCACCUAAGCUUGCAAGAACGCAAUAAAUGAGAGUUGCCUCAUUGUUUCUGAAAAUCCAUCCACAAUAUGAUGAUGUACCUGUUGAAGCUCAAUCAAGUAUUGCAUUGCACCUCUUUGGAGGGUGAGUGUUAACAUUAAAAUUCUUUCAAAUAAUGAAACUUCUGAUUGAUGAAUCGUUUGAUCAUUCCGUUUUCCUUUCCUCUCAUCGGAGUCAUAUACUCCGGGGGCCCAAACCCCCCCAUCAACACGCACAAUGACGCCCGGUUUAGGUAUGUUCAUUAUGAUCUGCCACAUACACAUUGGUAGGCCAUUUAAAUAUUGUAUAUAGAUGGAACCAUACAUACAUGUGCACACACGCGGACACAAAUUAUAUUGACUUAGCGACGCUAUUUAGUACAAAAUACUCUUAAUAAAAAACAAUGGCAUUACAAUCAUCCUAGAGUACAAAACCAAAGCUAUAUGGUUCGUGAAAAUAGAAAAUGUAAAAAAUACAAAUAGUAAUUGUAUUAGAACCCAAUAAUUUGUAUUUUUUACAUUUUCUAGUAGAAUGUUACGAGCACAACACUCAAGAACAUUUACAGAUACCUAGCCUAGAUCCACGAUACAUAAUACGAUUACCAUAGAAGAUACACCAAGGUUGUUGAGGAUGUGUGCACAUAUGCCUUGGACAAUCAAGAUUAGAAGUACAACAACCAAAAGGAAGUUUUGGGAGCAAUCCGCUUACUGUCAUUGUUGAAUAAAUGAUGUUAGAAAAAUGAGAUAAAACAUUUUGUAGAAUGUACCUAAUUAGAAAACUUUUGAAGGAUAAAAAGUGGCUUACUUGCAUGGUUUGCAACAACAAAUGGAGAGAUAAAGAUAAUCAUAAAAUAAACAAACUUUACAAUUUUACCCAUACUUUCUCCCCUUUGCAUAUAUGAGAUAUGGUUUUAUCACUUUAUGAUUUAUAAAACCUACUCUCACCUUAAAUACAUUAAAUUUCUUAAGAGCACGAUCUCAUUCUCAUUCAUCAUUAGCACAAAUAAUAAAGUGGUGAUAUAAAACAUUAUAAUUAAACCUCUCUUGAGUACAUAAAAGUAUUGUGUUUGUCUUUCUAUCACGCUUAUUAACGAGGUCAAAUAAAGGAAUUCAAUCUUAUUUUACAAAGUUUUUUUUUUAUUCUAUAGCCUUUCAUGACAGAAAAGGGAAUUCACAAAAAAGGAAAUUUUUGUUGGAUUUCAUG
RNAcentral lists this long non-coding RNA (1331 nucleotides) under Medicago truncatula (barrel medic). RNAcentral describes it as "lncRNA gene39307". Lineage: Eukaryota; Viridiplantae; Streptophyta; Magnoliopsida; Fabales; Fabaceae. The record is from RNAcentral.